Molecule: ribosomal RNA, 801 nt
Filed under: Methanoculleus thermophilus
Lineage: Archaea; Methanobacteriati; Methanobacteriota; Methanomicrobia; Methanomicrobiales; Methanomicrobiaceae
Description: bacterial SSU rRNA
Rfam family: Archaeal small subunit ribosomal RNA
Source: RNAcentral
UGGAAUGCCCGGUAUCCCAAAGCUCCGGCGCCUUAGGAUGGAUCUGCGGCCGAUUAGGUCGUUGUUGGGGUAACGGCCCAACAAGCCGAUAAUCGGUACGGGUUGUGGGAGCAAGAGCCCGGAGUUGGAUUCUGAGACACGAAUCCAGGCCCUACGGGGCGCAGCAGGCGCGAAAACUUUACAAUGCGGGCAACCGUGAUAAGGGAACCUCGAGUGCCUGUACAUGCAGGCUGUCUGGGUGUCUAAAACACACCCAAAGAAAGGGCCGGGCAAGACCGGUGCCAGCCGCCGCGGUAAUACCGGCGGCUCGAGUGGUGGCCACUUUUAUUGGGCUUAAAGCGUUCGUAGCUGGGUUGUUAAGUCUCUUGGGAAAUCUGGCAGCUUAACUGUCAGGCGUCUAAGAGAUACUGGCAAUCUAGGAACCGGGAGAGGUGAGGGGUACUUCGGGGGUAGGAGUGAAAUCCUGUAAUCCUCGAGGGACCACCUGUGGCGAAGGCGCCUCACCAGAACGGCUUCGACAGUGAGGGACGAAAGCUGGGGGAGCAAACCGGAUUAGAUACCCGGGUAGUCCCAGCCGUAAACGAUGCGCGUUAGGUGUGUCGAUGACCACGAGUCAUCGAGGUGCCGAAGGGAAACCGUGAAACGCGCCGCCUGGGAAGUACGGUCGCAAGGCUGAAACUUAAAGGAAUUGGCGGGGGAGCACCACAACAGGUGGAGCCUGCGGUUUAAUUGGACUCAACGCCGGGAAGCUCACCGGAUAGGACAGCAGAAUGAUUGCCGGGCUGAAGACUCUGCAUGACU